CCCUUAGAUGUUCUGGGCUGCACGCGCGCUACACUGAUGCACUCAACGAGUUUACGACCUUGCCCGAUAGGGUUGGGUAAUCUUUUUAAAAUGCAUCGUGAUGGGGAUAGAUUAUUGCAAUUAUUAAUCUUCAACGAGGAAUUCCUAGUAAGCGCGAGUCAUCAGCUCGUGCUGAUUACGUCCCUGCCCUUUGUACACACCGCCCGUCGCUCCUACCGAUUGAGUGCUCAGGUGAAUAAUUCGGACUGCAGCAAUGUUUGGAUCCCGAACGUUGCAGCGGAAAGUUUAGUAAACCUUAUCACUUAGAGGAAGGAGAAGUCGUAACA
This 326-nucleotide ribosomal RNA is filed under the name uncultured eukaryote. RNAcentral's name for it is "partial 18S ribosomal RNA". It matches the Rfam family "Eukaryotic small subunit ribosomal RNA", at positions 1470 to 1796 of the family's 1831-position model. The record is from RNAcentral.